UACGUAGGGUGCGAGCGUUAAUCGGAUUUACUGGGCGUAAAGCGUGCGCAGGCGGCCCGUUAAGACAGGUGUGAAAUCCCUGGGCUCAACCUAGGAAUUGCGCUUGUGACUGGAGGACUAGAGUACGGUAGAGGGGGGUGGAAUUCCUGGUGUAGCAGUGAAAUGCGUAGAGAUCAGGAGGAACACCGAUGGCGAAGGCAGCCCCCUGGGACUGUACUGACGCUCAUGCACGAAAGCGUGGGGAGCAAACAGG
This 253-nucleotide ribosomal RNA is filed under the name uncultured microorganism. RNAcentral describes it as "partial 16S ribosomal RNA". It matches the Rfam family "Bacterial small subunit ribosomal RNA", at positions 524 to 776 of the family's 1533-position model. The record is from RNAcentral.